Arabidopsis thaliana (thale cress) is the source of this 596-nucleotide long non-coding RNA. RefSeq annotates it as other RNA. The transcript has 2 exons. Lineage: Eukaryota; Viridiplantae; Streptophyta; Magnoliopsida; Brassicales; Brassicaceae. The record is from RefSeq.
AAACCAAUCCUAAUUCUCCAAAGCUAAGAGACUACAUGUAGAUUAAUACCAAAUGGUUGAGAAACUUGCGAAUCUUUCUCCUGAACAUAUUCUCUUUACGCUUUACUAAAUUCACCGUAAUCUUCUUGGAGCUAUGAUCCUCCUCCUCCGACGCGAAGGAACCGACAAAGAUCUUAAUCGCCGGAAUAUCUACGUCUGUACCUGUCGCCUUGACUUCUUCGCUGGAGAAGAUCAUGUCGUUGCCGUAAGAGAUCUGAAGACCACGUCCCAACAGCUCGUGGCAUGGUUGGCGUUUGAAAGGAGCCGUCGUCGUUAACGGACGUCUAGGGAAAUGACGAUUGAUCGGAUGGAAGUUGACGAAAUUCACCGGCACUGUGACCUCAUCGGAUUCGGAAAGGCUUGGGUUUGUGGAAUCUGGAUCGGGUUCGGCUGAUGAAGUGGUGGUUAGGCUUUUGUCGAUGAUGUCAUUUCCCGGCGUUGAAGAAGCGACGGAGAGAGCCAACGUGAACAAAAGAACGGUGACGGUAACGGUAACGGUAACGGUAGCGGUGGGGGAGGCCAUUGUUUUGGGAAGAAGGAAAUCUGAAUUGUCAAAG